RNAcentral lists this ribosomal RNA (253 nucleotides) under uncultured bacterium. Its description in RNAcentral is "partial 16S ribosomal RNA". It matches the Rfam family "Bacterial small subunit ribosomal RNA", at positions 524 to 776 of the family's 1533-position model. The record is from RNAcentral.
UACGUAGGGGGCAAGCGUUGUCCGGAUUUACUGGGCGUAAAGAGCGUGUAGGCGGCCACGCAGGUCCGUUGUGAAAACUGGAGGCUCAACCUCCAGCUGUCGACGGAAACCGUGUGGCUAGAGUCCGGAAGAGGAGAGUGGAAUUCCUGGUGUAGCGGUGAAAUGCGCAGAUAUCAGGAAGAACCCCAAUGGCGAAGACAGCCCUCUGGGACGGUACUGACGCUGAGACGCGAAAGCGUGGGGAGCGAACAGG